Molecule: long non-coding RNA, 442 nt
Organism: Podarcis raffonei (Aeolian wall lizard)
Lineage: Eukaryota; Metazoa; Chordata; Lepidosauria; Squamata; Lacertidae
Exons: 2
Source: RefSeq, a predicted model, not a curated record
GAUGCUUGCUUGCUGGCACCUACUCGUCUCUUCAGCAUCAGGAAACAGUUUUAUUUUCCCAGGCCCUAACUCAGUGGCAGAACCCAUCCUUUGCACACAGAAGAACUCAGGUUCAUCUUCAUGUAGGGCUGGGGAAAGAACCCGGUUUGAAAUCCUGCUGAGAUUCUCCCAGCCAGUGCAGAUAAAACCUGCAUUAGAUGGGCCAAUAGUCUGACUUCUAUAAGAUACCUUCCUAAAUGUUGGCUGGGAGUCUAUGAGUUGUACUACCUCCAGUAUCAAGAGGCUGCAUGCCUCUGAGCACCAGUCAGAAGAUUGCUAUGGUGCUCAUGCCCUGCUUGUGGUCUUCCCACCAGCAUAUGGUUGACCAUUAUGAGAACGUGAUGCUGAACUAAAUGGGCAUAGCAUCUUUCUUAUAUUCUUAAAUAAACUUUUUUAAAGCAUU